GACGAACGCUGGCGGCGUGCCUAACACAUGCAAGUCGAACGGAGAUUUCAGUAAUGGAAUCUUAGUGGCGAACGGGUGAGUAACGCGUAGAUAACCUGCCUUCUAGAUGGGGACAACACUGCGAAAGUGGUGCUAAUACCGAAUGUUGUAUUGAGAAUGUAUAUUUUUGAUACUAAAGAUGGCCUCUAUUUAUAAGCUAUCGCUAGAAGAUGGGUCUGCGUCUGAUUAGUUAGUUGGUGAGGUAAUGGCUCACCAAGGCGACGAUCAGUAGCCGGUCUGAGAGGAUGAACGGCCACACUGGGACUGAGAUAUGGCCCAGACUCCUACGGGAGGCAGCAGUGGGGAAUCUUCCGCAAUGGACGAAAGUCUGACGGAGCAACGCCGCGUGAGUGAAGAAGGUUUUCGGAUCGUAAAACUCUGUUUUCAGGGACGAAUGUGCGAUGUGUAAAUAAUGCAUUGUAAUGACGGUACCUGAGUAGAAAGCCACGGCUAACUACGUGCCAGCAGUUGCGGUAAUACGUAGGUGGCAAGCGUUGUCCGGAAUUAUUGGGCGUAAAGCGCGCGCAGGUGGGAUAUUAAGUCUGGUGUUAAAGUUCGGGGCUCAACCCCGUGAAGCAUUUGGAAACUGAUAUUCUUGAGUGCAGGAGAGGAAAGUGGAAUUCCUAGUGUAGCGGUGAAAUGCGUAGAUAUUAGGAGGAACACCAGUGGCGAAGGCGACUUUCUGGACUGUGUCUGACACUGAGGCGCGAAAGCUAGGGUAGUGAACAGGAUUAGAUACCCUGGUAAUCCUAGCUGUAAACGAUGGGUACUAGGUGUUGGGGGUAUUGACCCCUCCAGUGCCGGAGUUAACGCAAUAAGUACCCCGCCUGGGGAGUACGGCCGCAAGGUUG
This 890-nucleotide ribosomal RNA is filed under the name uncultured bacterium. RNAcentral describes it as "bacterial SSU rRNA". It matches the Rfam family "Bacterial small subunit ribosomal RNA", at positions 28 to 896 of the family's 1533-position model. The record is from RNAcentral.